Molecule: ribosomal RNA, 484 nt
Filed under: uncultured bacterium
Lineage: Bacteria
Description: partial 16S ribosomal RNA
Rfam family: Bacterial small subunit ribosomal RNA
Source: RNAcentral
AUUGAACGCUGGCGGCAUGCUUUACACAUGCAAGUCGAACGGCAGCGCGGGCUUCGGCCUGGCGGCGAGUGGCGAACGGGUGAGUAAUGCAUCGGAACGUGCCCGGUAGUGGGGGAUAACCCGGCGAAAGCCGGAUUAAUACCGCAUACGACCUGAGGGUGAAAGCGGGGGACCGAAAGGCCUCGCGCUAUUGGAGCGGCCGAGGUCGGAUUAGCUAGUUGGUGGGGUAAAGGCUUACCAAGGCGACGAUCCGUAGCUGGUCUGAGAGGACGACCAGCCACACUGGGACUGAGACACGGCCCAGACUCCUACGGGAGGCAGCAGUGGGGAAUUUUGGACAAUGGGGGCAACCCUGAUCCAGCCAUGCCGCGUGCGGGAAGAAGGCCUUCGGGUUGUAAAGCGCUUUUGUUCGGGAAGAAAUCCUCUGGGCUAAUACCCCGGGGGGAUGACGGUACCGGAAGAAUAAGCACCGGCUAACUACGUG